GGGGAUGUAGCUCAGUGGUAGAGCGUCCGCUUCGCAUGCGGAAGGCCCGGGGUUCGAUCUCCCGCAUCUCCA
This is a non-coding RNA of Nematostella vectensis (starlet sea anemone), 72 nucleotides long. The record is from Rfam. Lineage: Eukaryota; Metazoa; Cnidaria; Anthozoa; Actiniaria; Edwardsiidae.